Molecule: ribosomal RNA, 254 nt
Filed under: uncultured bacterium
Lineage: Bacteria
Description: partial 16S ribosomal RNA
Rfam family: Bacterial small subunit ribosomal RNA
Source: RNAcentral
UACGUAGGGACCAAGCGUUGUUCGGAUUUACUGGGCGUAAAGGGCGCGUAGGCGGCGUAUUAAGUCAUCUGUGAAAUCUCCGAGCUUAACUCGGAACUGUCAGCUGAUACUGAUGUGCUAGAGUGCGGAAGGGGCAAUCGGAAUUCUUGGUGUAGCGGUGAAAUGCGUAGAUAUCAAGAGGAACACCUGAGGUGAAGACGGGUUGCUGGGCCGACACUGACGCUGAGUGCGCGAAAGCCAGGGGAGCAAACGGG